Molecule: ribosomal RNA, 403 nt
Filed under: bacterium
Lineage: Bacteria
Description: partial 16S ribosomal RNA
Rfam family: Bacterial small subunit ribosomal RNA
Source: RNAcentral
UGGGGAAUAUUGCACAAUGGAGGGAACUCUGAUGCAGCGACGCCGCGUGAACGAAGAAGGCUUUCGAGUCGUAAAGUUCUUUUAUAUGGGAAGAUAAUGACGGUACCAUAAGAAAAAGCCCCGGCUAACUACGUGCCAGCAGCCGCGGUAAUACGUAGGGGGUUAGCGUUGUCCGGAAUCACUGGGCGUAAAGGGUUCGCAGGCGGAAAUGCAAGUCAGGUGUAAAAGGCAGUAGCUUAACUACUGUAAGCAUUUGAAACUGCAUAUCUUGAGAAGAGUAGAGGUAAGUGGAAUUUUUAGUGUAGCGGUGAAAUGCGUAGAUAUUAAAAAGAAUACCGGUGGCGAAGGCGGCUUACUGGGCUCAUUCUGACGCUGAGGAACGAAAGCGUGGGUAGCAAACAGG